This 587-nucleotide ribosomal RNA is filed under the name Netzelia tuberculata. Its description in RNAcentral is "SSU rRNA". It matches the Rfam family "Eukaryotic small subunit ribosomal RNA", at positions 1346 to 1821 of the family's 1831-position model. Lineage: Eukaryota; Tubulinea; Elardia; Arcellinida; Netzeliidae. The record is from RNAcentral.
GCCGUCGAAUAGUUCGGCGGANCGGGGGANGGUNCUCCGGGGCCGCCCCUACCACNGUCCGUCCGCGGCCGGGCCCCGUGCCCGGUCGCCGGCCGUCGACCGUUCCGGCCGUCGGACCCCUUGGGCAACCUCGGGGCGAGGCGGUGGGACGGGAGGCGGUCGGAGCUUCUCGGAGGGACCACCCGCCUUAGGCAAGCGGGGGGAAGAUCGAGGCCAAAACAGGUCUGUGAUGCCCUUAGAUGUCCUGGGCCGCACGCGCGUUACAGUGACACGGGCAACGAGCUACCUCCCUCCCCGCAGGGGGUGGGGAAACCCGAAGCCGUGUCGCGGUGGGGACAGACCAUUGCAACUAUUGGUCUCGAACCAGGAAUUCCUAGUAGGUGCGGGUCACCAGCCCGCGCCGACUACGUCCCUGCCCUUUGUACACACCGCCCGUCGCUCCUACCGAUCGAACGGUCCGGCGAGGACUUGGGAGGCCCGGACACCCCGCGGCCGAAAUGCUACGGGGUCCGGACCGAACUCGUUCGAACCUUAUCGUUUAGAGGAAGGAGAAGUCGUAACAAGGUUUCCGUAGGUGAACCUGCNGA